RNAcentral lists this unclassified non-coding RNA (336 nucleotides) under soil metagenome. RNAcentral's name for it is "partial contains 5.8S ribosomal RNA, internal transcribed spacer 2, and large subunit ribosomal RNA". The stretch from base 1 to 120 matches the Rfam family "5.8S ribosomal RNA", at positions 35 to 154 of the family's 154-position model. The record is from RNAcentral.
GAUGAAGAACGUAGCGAAAUGCGAUAAGUAAUGUGAAUUGCAGAAUUCAGUGAAUCAUCGAAUCUUUGAACGCACAUUGCGCCCGGUAGUAUUCUGCCGGGCAUGCCUGUUCGAGCGUCAUUUCAACCAUCAAGCCCCAGCGCUUGUGUUGGGGGCCUGCGGCUGCCGCAGCCCCCUAAAAGCAGUGGCGGGCUCGCUAUCACACCGAGUGCAGUAGUUCAUCUUCUCUCCGGUCUUGUGAGGCGGGUUCCGGCCGUGAAACACCCCACUACAUUCAAGGUUGACCUCGGAUCAGGUAGGAAUACCCGCUGAACUUAAGCAUAUCAUAGCGGAGGA